UACGAAGGGGGGCUAGCGUUGCUCGGAAUCACUGGGCGUAAAGGGUGCGUAGGCGGGUCUUUAAGUCGGGGGUGAAAUCCCGAGGCUCAACCUCGGAACUGCCUUCGAUACUGGCGAUCUUCGAGUCCGGGAGAGGUGAGUGGAACUCCGAGUGUAGAGGUGAAAUUCGUAGAUAUUCGGAAGAACACCAGUGGCGAAGGCGGCUCACUGGCCCGGUACUGACGCUGAAAUACGAAAGCGUGGGGAGCAAACAGG
Molecule: ribosomal RNA, 255 nt
Filed under: uncultured bacterium
Lineage: Bacteria
Description: partial 16S ribosomal RNA
Rfam family: Bacterial small subunit ribosomal RNA
Source: RNAcentral